This 67-nucleotide ribosomal RNA is filed under the name Asparagus officinalis (garden asparagus). RNAcentral's name for it is "partial small subunit ribosomal RNA". Lineage: Eukaryota; Viridiplantae; Streptophyta; Magnoliopsida; Asparagales; Asparagaceae. The record is from RNAcentral.
AAGCCCGGUAAGCUCCGCCCCCAGUGCGCUCGUCAAUAUAGGCUGAAAAGUCAGCGUAACUAGUAAA